AGAGUUUGAUCCUGGCUCAGGAUGAACGCUGGCGGCGUGCCUAAUACAUGCAAGUCGAGCGAACAGAUAAGGAGCUUGCUCCUUUGACGUUAGCGGCGGACGGGUGAGUAACACGUGGGUAACCUACCUAUAAGACUGGAAUAACUCCGGGAAACCGGGGCUAAUGCCGGAUAACAUGUUGAACCGCAUGGUUCUACAGUGAAAGACGGUCUUGCUGUCACUUAUAGAUGGACCCGCGCCGUAUUAGCUAGUUGGUGGGGUAACGGCCUACCAAGGCGACGAUACGUAGCCGACCUGAGAGGGUGAUCGGCCACACUGGAACUGAGACACGGUCCAGACUCCUACGGGAGGCAGCAGUAGGGGAUCUUCCGCAAUGGGCGAAAGCCUGACGGAGCAACGCCGCGUGAGUGAUGAAGGUCUUCGGAUCGUAAAGCUCUGUUGUUAGGGAAGAACAAAUGUGUAAGUAACUGUGCACAUCUUGACGGUACCUAACCAGAAAGCCACGGCUAACUACGUGCCAGCAGCCGCGGUAAUACGUAGGUGGCAAGCGUUAUCCGGAAUUAUUGGGCGUAAAGCGCGCGUAGGCGGUUUUUUAAGUCUGAUGUGAAAGCCCACGGCUCAACCGUGGAGGGUCAUUGGAAACUGGAAAACUUGAGUGCAGAAGAGGAAAGUGGAAUUCCAUGUGUAGCGGUGAAAUGCGCAGAGAUAUGGAGGAACACCAGUGGCGAAGGCGGCUUUCUGGUCUGCAACUGACGCUGAUGUGCGAAAGCGUGGGGAUCAAACAGGAUUAGAUACCCUAGUAGUCC
RNAcentral lists this ribosomal RNA (806 nucleotides) under uncultured bacterium. Its description in RNAcentral is "bacterial SSU rRNA". It matches the Rfam family "Bacterial small subunit ribosomal RNA", at positions 8 to 796 of the family's 1533-position model. The record is from RNAcentral.